UACGGAGGGAGCUAGCGUUGUUCGGAAUCACUGGGCGUAAAGCGCGCGUAGGCGGCUAUUUAAGUCAGAGGUGAAAGCCCGGGGCUCAACCCCGGAACUGCCUUUGAAACUAGAUGGCUAGAAGAUGGGAGAGGUGAGUGGAAUUCCGAGUGUAGAGGUGAAAUUCGUAGAUAUUCGGAAGAACACCAGUGGCGAAGGCGACUCACUGGACCAUUAUUGACGCUGAGGCGCGAAAGCGUGGGGAGCAAACAGG
RNAcentral lists this ribosomal RNA (253 nucleotides) under uncultured bacterium. RNAcentral describes it as "partial 16S ribosomal RNA". It matches the Rfam family "Bacterial small subunit ribosomal RNA", at positions 524 to 776 of the family's 1533-position model. The record is from RNAcentral.